Molecule: long non-coding RNA, 886 nt
Filed under: Malus domestica (apple)
Lineage: Eukaryota; Viridiplantae; Streptophyta; Magnoliopsida; Rosales; Rosaceae
Description: long non-coding RNA (MDOM_LNC010650)
Source: RNAcentral
UUACCCAAAAAGAUAGAAAUAAAAUUAUUCAAGAAAAAAUAGAACACAUAUCCGCUGUAGCAAAACUAAACUUGGCUAAUUUGUUCAUCCAGGUUCUACUCCUGACAGCGGAAAUUACUUUUGGAUUAUUUUUUUGUAUUUUUCAUUUUUUAUAUCUAUUUCACUCACUAAUCGCCAUUCAAGCUAUAAAUAAAAUUACUGAAAAAAUAAAAUACAAAUCCGUAGUGGCAAAACUAAUCUUGGCUAAUUUGUUCUUUCAGGUUGCACUCUUGGCAGCGGAAAAUACUUUUGAAUUCUUUUUAUUGUAUUUUACGUUUUUAUAUCCAUUUCACUCACUAAUCACCCCUCAAGCUGUAAAUAAAAUUAGUGAAAAAAAAGAACAAAAAUCCGCUGUAGCAAAACUAAACUUGGCUAAUUUGUUCAUCCAGGUUCGACUCCUGGCAGAGGAAAAUACUUUUGGUUUGUUGUUUUAUAUUUUACGUUUUUUUGAUAUGUAUUCCACUCACUAAUCACCCACAAAGAUAUAAAUAAAAUUUUUCAAGAAAAUAGAACACAAAUCCGCUGUAGCAAAACUAAACUUGGAUAAUUUGUUCAUCCAGGUUCGACUCCUCGCAGCGAAAAAUACUUUUGGAUUGUUUUUUUUGUAUAUUUUGUUUUUAUAUCCAGUUCACUCACUAAUUACCCCUCAAGCUAUAAAUAAAAUUACGUAAAGAAAAAACACAAAUCCGUUGUAGCUAUACUAAAGUUGGGUAAUUUGUUCAUCUAGGUUCAACUUUUGCCGGCAGAAAAUACUUUUGGAUUCUUUUUAUUGUAUUUUUCGUUUAUAUAUCCGUUUCACUUAGUCAUCACCCCUCAAGCUAUAAAUAAAAUUACUAAAAAAAAAAAA